Molecule: long non-coding RNA, 476 nt
Filed under: Mytilus galloprovincialis (Mediterranean mussel)
Lineage: Eukaryota; Metazoa; Mollusca; Bivalvia; Mytilida; Mytilidae
Source: RNAcentral
CUUGAAUAUUAUUAUAGAUAGAGAUAAACUGUAAACAGCAAUAAUGUUCAGCAAUGUAAGAUUUACAAAUAAGUCAACAUGACCAAAAUGGUCAGUUGACCCCUUUAGGAGUUAUUGAUCUUUAUAGUCAAUUUUUAACCAUUUUUCGUAAAUCUUAGUAAUCUUUUACAAAAAUCUUCUCCUCUGAAACUAUUGGGCCAAAUUAAUCCAAACUUGGCCACAAUCAUCUUUGGGAUAUCUAGUUUAAAAAAUGUGUGGCGUGACCCGGCCAACCAACAAAGAUGGCCACCAUGGCUAAAAAUAGAACAUAGGGGUAAAAUGCAGUUUUUGGCUUAUAACUCGAAAACCAAAGCAUUAAGAGCAAAUCUGACAUGCGAUAAAAGUGUUUAUCAGGUCAAGAUUUAUCUGUCCUGAAAUUUUCAGAUUAAUCGGACAACCUGUUGUUGGGUUGCUGCCCCUGAAUUGGUAAUUUUAAG